Molecule: long non-coding RNA, 3106 nt
Filed under: Sus scrofa (pig)
Lineage: Eukaryota; Metazoa; Chordata; Mammalia; Artiodactyla; Suidae
Description: lncRNA (ENSSSCG00015078278.1)
Source: RNAcentral
UUUUUAUUUUUUGGCCAUGCCUAGAGCAGGCAAAUGUUCCAGGGUCAGGAACUGAAUCCAUGUCACAGCAGCCACCUGAGCCAAAGCAAGUGAUAACAUAGAUCCUUAACCUGCAAAGCUACCAGGAACACCCCAAAGCAUGUUUUAAAGCCAAGUGAUAACAUGGCUCAUAAAAGAGCUACUGCUUCCAAUAGAAUAUUACCAAUGAUAUUAAAAUUGCUGUGAAGUGAUUGGUCAGUUCAUUGCCAAAGAGAAACAAAUUGUGUUCUGUUGGAUAGGUGACUUGUAAGAGAGGAUCAUUUUCCAUUAAAAAGAAAAGAUGGGGGAAGAAAAACCUGACUAAGUUGAGGGUGGGGAGUGAUAACAAUUAACAAAACAAACAAUAGAUUCAGUGAUGAGUUAAAGAUGAAUUAGAUAUUCUUAUCAUCUGAGAAGGAAGCCAAUACAAAUCAAUAGUUCUUACAGUUCUCCAAGGGUACCCUACUUGCUAGACUUUAAAGGGAUUAGUCCAACAGCUACUCAUUAAAAAACAAAACAAAGAGUACUUACAAGUGAGAAUGGUAACCCAGCAAAGAGACCUAUGAAACUUGCAUCUUACCAAAGCUUUUUUAGUGCCCUAAUUACCAUACCUAAUACUGUGAUAGUAGAUAGUGACACCCAUAGGUAUUUGUUGAGUGAAGAAAUCUGAUAAACUCUUUAUAGAAUUGAUCUUAAGAAGUCUUCUCAUUACAUCCAAAGAUAGUACUCAUUACUGUGUCAGAUCACCCCAUCGCUAAGAAUUUUAAAUUCUUAAAUCAUAAAUGUCCUUGUUACAUAAACUGAGAUUGGUCUUUAAAGAAAAUCUAGCCAUUCAUUUUAUAUUACUCCUUAGAGAAUUAAAAUGAAUCCCUCUUCUGCCUGGCAAUCUUUCAAAUAUCUGAAGAAAGCUAUCUUAAGGAAAUAUUAGAGAGAUGCUAUUUUAUGAUUUCUCUGCACUGUAUCUCAAAACUAUUUCACCCUACGUACUGUUUCACAAUAUUAGCCAGAUACUUCUGGAAAAAAGGUUUGCAAGGCCAAAGCAAAUUUACCUGAACAUAUUCUCUUGCCUUCUAAAUUAAUUGAGCCAUCAUGUAAAGUGUCAGAAACUAUUUCCUACUGCCUCAGGAUGAGCACUGUGGCAAUGGGUGAGAAGCAAAUUAGAGUUCCAAUAUGUCCUGCUAAGCAUGGGGAAGUCAGUCACUUGCCUUAGGGAUCAGGUCAGUUUCUACUGAAAGAACAUCUAUGAUGAACUAAAUACAAGGGACCCCACCCUUCAAUAGAUAUCAUGUAAGUGGUCCAUAUUCUUAUGUAGCCCUAUGGGGGAAAGAGCCCCAAUUAUGCCCAAGAUUAAUUUCCCUGCAAUCCUCUGGGAUAGUGGCUAUACACCUAAAUUAAUUUUAGUCAGGGAAUCCACAGAAAUGUGCGUUACCUUGCACACUUUAUUUGGAAACAAAAUAUGCCAAUGACAUAGCAAUUGCAUCUGCCUUAAAACUGGUUGGAACUCUAAGCUUUAUGUAACUUCCUUCCUUGCCUGCUAGUCUACAGAGCAAUAUGGAAGAGUAAAGAGCAGAAGGUACAAUGCCAGGGAAAAAAUAGCUUUUAAACCUAUAACCUAGAACAAGAAUGUUUUACCUGAGUCUGAGCUUUUUCAGAUGUAAAACAGACAGAGUAAUGCUAUUAGGCACUAUUUGCAGCACAAUCAUGGGAUAUCUACCAACAAAGAACAGAGAUAUAAAGCAAAUAAAAAUGUGGCUAGAGAGUUUAAUCUACAUUUAGCACUUUAGAGCAGAAUCAGGCAAAAUGUCUUUAAUAUGACCAAACAUUUCACAAGCUGGCAGGACUAGGUGUAACCUAUUUCAUCAAUUCUAGGGUACUCCAUUUUGUCCACCUUGUAACAUUUCUAAAAUGGAGAUGCAUCUUCUAAUUAAUGGUAUGUCAGAGUUAACUGAGGAUAUUUCUAUAAUUUUAAUCAUAUAAACAGUGGUGAACCUCAUAUAAGCACCUUUCAGAGGUGAGGAUAUCUAGAAUCAGGGCUUUUGUUUAGGUGGUUUUAUAUCAAAUCUAAAGCCAUUAAGGUAAUUAGAUGCAUCAAGCUGCCUUCUGAUUACCAUUGGCCUAUCAUUGUUGGGGACAUGGCUCAGAUCAUCAGUGUCGAAAAAUGAACAAGGGAAGGUCUCAACAAGGCUCUUUACUUCUGCAGAAGGGUGUGGGUACUCAAAAAGCAUGCAAAGAAGCAAAGACCCAAUUUGUCCCUAAUGCAGGUGAUGUACCUGUCCCCUUCCCAUUGGUCAGGUCAGGGCAAGCAUUAUUUCUUCUCAGUUGGCUAAUUUGAAACAAAUUGUUACUCUGAGAAGAGGGAAAGAGGAGGGGGGUUGUGGGAAGGCAUUUUGGCUGAAACCUGAGCAAAAUGGAGUAACUAAGAUUGCCUUUGAUAGAUAAGACAUUGUGUUACUUCCCACAAUUUCCCCCUUUCAUUUUUUUUUCAAAUAUUCUUUUGUUCAAAUUCUUUGAGCAUGGCUUGGCUCUCAGGCUCUAUUGUGUCCAUCAGGAGUAUAUUGGCUUGGGGGGGGAGGAGUCCCAGUUGCUUUUUUUGGGCAGUUUCUUUUAAUUUUUUAAAAAGUUCCCUUGCACAAGAAAUUAUACAACAUGCAACUAAGACACGUACACUAACUACAGCAAUUUGAGGGGUAAAGAUUGAAGCUAUUAGUCCCUUCCAUUUUUUUUUUUUAAACAAUUUUCUAUAAGGUCUGAGAAGGGGUCAUUAAUACCAGAAUUCUAUGAAAGCUCAUCUGCUAAGGUCGUUAGUCCACACAGGGCCUUGGUGAUGGUGCUGUCUGGGGCAGUGUUGUUGAGAAUGAAUGUCCAGCACUGGACACCAAUUAUUACACAGACUCCACCCUUUUCUGCCAGCAUCAUGUCUAAAGCAAGGCUAUUUUCCCAUGCCAUUUGACUAGUUGGCCCUAGCUGUUUAGCUAUUUCUUUAAUGGCAUCUCUAGUGUAAUUAAUGAAUCUUUGUUGAUUGUAAUAGAUGUAGUUUAUCCAAUCAACAUUUUUGUUUAUGGUUGACCACCAAAAGAGAGCAGCUUCA